AGCGACAUCCGCUUGUUUGUUCUUGCUCAGGACUUGUCCAAGAUCACAUCUUGACUUGGCUCUUUUUGGUACACUGUGUUGCAUGCCAACAUUGAUGGAAUUUUUGUUGCUGUCGUUUGUCCCAAAAUUCACCUUGUGCUGCUCAUGUGGUUCGGGGUGAACAACGUAGUUCCUCGUGAUGCCCAGGCUGUCUUCACUUCUUAUGAUUUUGGUUUGGGCRACACGGGAUACUCGAACUCUCGGAUACAGAAAGUAAUGUUGGGUGUAUGGGGUAUAGCACUCUGUAAGCCCAGAUUGAGUGCUCUCGCCAACGAUGUUGUUUACCAGGGUCUCCAACUGUUGGGAAAAGUGCUGGUUGCCGUCGUUGAGCAAGAGAGUGUCGAAAGACAAACUGUCAAACCUCGUUCUGUAGGGGUCUGGAGGCGUACGUCCGUACGACUGAAGGCUGCUCGGGUAGGGGUACAACGACAUGUUUGCCAAGGAAUGC
RNAcentral lists this unclassified non-coding RNA (487 nucleotides) under Azorella nitens. RNAcentral's name for it is "partial external transcribed spacer; ETS". The record is from RNAcentral. Lineage: Eukaryota; Viridiplantae; Streptophyta; Magnoliopsida; Apiales; Apiaceae.